GUCUACAGCCAUACCACCCUGAAAGCGCCUGAUCUUGUCUGAUCUCGGAAGCUAAGCAGGGUCAGGCCUGGUUAGUACUUGGAUGGGAAAGUAUACCAAGCUCAAUCUUCU
This 111-nucleotide ribosomal RNA is filed under the name Octodon degus (degu). Lineage: Eukaryota; Metazoa; Chordata; Mammalia; Rodentia; Octodontidae. The record is from RNAcentral.